RNAcentral lists this long non-coding RNA (4941 nucleotides) under Homo sapiens (human). RNAcentral's name for it is "non-protein coding lnc-C7-2:1". The record is from RNAcentral. Lineage: Eukaryota; Metazoa; Chordata; Mammalia; Primates; Hominidae.
GGACUUUAUUAGGCAUUUCACUGAAUACAAAUAAACUUUUAUUUUUUACAUUAAGAACACAAUCUUAUUUAAAAAAUUCACAUUUUCUAUACAGACUGUAGCCAUGGAUUUUCUUUACACCACAUUUAUUAAAGUAUCAAUAACCAGAUCCUAAAAAGAGAAGGCACAGAUCUGUCUCUCUCUGGUGAAUUUCUGGUGUCUAAUGAAGGAAAUGUCACCAGCUCUGCAAAUUCCCAUCCUCCAGAAAUGAAGCAAAUCAACACAAAUGUGUGUAAGCAGGAGUCAUGAGAUGGACAUGUUAUAUUAAAGGAUUUGGAUUUUCCUCUGCCACUUAUAGGAAUUUCAGGAGAGGAGGUAGCUACUGAAAAUGUUUCAAAAUUCCAUCUGCAUUCAGUCUCUGUCAAGGAUUCACUGUUGGAAACAGUAGUAUUUGAAAGCUAGAAUUUAGGAAUUCCAACAUGGUUCUAUUUUCUGCAUUGUUUUAGAAACCAGCCUUUGAUCUCACUGUUCUUAUUUUAGGGCUUCUUGGGUUUUCAAUUCCAAAAAAAAAUAGUACUGGUCGUUAUAAUUUGCUUUGACGAGUCUCUCUGCCAGGUGAUAGCUGCAUGUCAGGGUCAGAUUCUAUCCCCUACUUGCGCCUGCCUCCCCUGUCCCCCAACAAUGUUCUGAGAAGGUGUCACCAGGGCAGUGUCUAUACCUCAGACUCUUUUAUUCUUCCAGCAGUGAAGACAGUUCCUAUGUCACCUUUCUACAAUUCCGUAGAUGACCAGUUUUAACCUGAUAAAAAUAAUUUGUGGUAAGAUGUGAAUGGGGGAAAUAAUGAAUUCGUUUGUUAUCUCUCUGAAAGAAAAAAGAAAUUGAAUUUAAAAGAGGUCCUGGUACUGAGUUAGGCGGUGUUGCCACUUUUCAGGAGCAUUUCUAAUAUGUCGGUGUGUUUUUGGUUGUCCCAGUUACUGGGAAAUGCUAUAUAAGGGAUUAAUGGGGAAACUUGGACCUCACAACAGGCUGGCAAAGGGAAGUGUUGAACAUGGUGGCAUUGAUCCUAUGAAGAUAUUUACUUGAUUAUCCCAUCUGUAUUUGAGUUCGUCCUUCAAAAAGCAUUUGCAGGACCUAGAGCUGACCAAUGUUUUCUUUCUUGAAGGACAUUAUGACUGCAGAUAUUCAUAAGGUGUCUGAACACAAGGGUAUGGAGGGAGGUAGAUCUCGCCCCUUAUAGAUAGCCCAGCUGAAAAAGAUAGAAAGGCAGUGUGGAUAGAAUUGUGAGAUUUAGGAAAAAAUAUAUAGGACAUACCCAGUUACAUUUGAAUUUCAGUGGAUAUCCUGUAUUUUACCUGGCAACUCUAAAUAUUGAAAAGGAAUAACUAAGGAUGGAGAAAGAAAGGAAAUAAGAAAGUUAAUUAAUAUUCUGUAAUCAGAUCCAAGCCCAAAGAAGGUCACAGAAUUUUUGCUUCAAGCAUGACCACAUGUGUAGAUCCUUGUCAGUCAUGAGUUUUCUAUUGCUAGACUAAUUCUACACGUGGGGCAGACCAGAAAAGUGUGUGGGUUGCAUGCUUGUUUUCUCGAGAAGAGAACCAUGUUGGAACCACCUAGUAUGGAUGGGCCUUUAAAAGCUCUCCUAACACCAAGGCAGUUCAUCUUACUUGGGAAGAUUGAAUUUUAAAAAGUAAUGGUUUGGAGAAACAAUUUUUCAUGGAAAAUUUAUCAUUAAAGAAAAAUGGGUGCCAUGUUGGGAAGGUCAACUUUAAAGGUGUACUGGUUCUAUUGUUGAUGAAAACAAAUUAGUCUGUAUGAAAAUGAAGUUAAUAUAUGAAUUGAUGUUUGAUUAUUACGAAAAGCAAUGGGGUACCUCACAAGGUGGACAGUUUGCUUGUGGGAACUCAGAUAGGUUCUAAAGCCCAUUCCUCACAAAAUUAAAAGACACCAUUUUUAACAAAAACUUAAUUUCUGUUUCAAUUUUAAAUCCAAAUUGCAAAAACAACAAAAAAGUGUUAAUAAAUUAAGGCUGGUCACAAUGUGCCCUUUUUCUUUAGGAUAAGUUUGAUUUUUGAUAAGAUAUUAUAUACUUACACACACAUACCACAUACAAGCACAUACUUUUGACUCAUACAAAUAUACGUUUAAAACUAUUACCUACAAAAUAGUAUCACAAUUGAAAUAACAAUUACACAAUUUUCAACAGAUUCAAUUGACAUGUUUUACAAAUUCUACAGAACACUUUAUCAUUAUCAUUGGGAAAACAAACAAUUUAGAGCAUUAUUUAAAACUGUAUGUAACACAGGAGCCACCAAUAAGUUAUGGCAGAUAUAGCAUUUACACCAUAGUGUCACUGAAAUCUAGCUGAAAAGACUAAAGUGCUGUAAAAUAAAAUGCUCUUAAAAACCUUGUUUAGCAUAUCCUGAGGACACUGUGCAUUAUUUUCUAUUAGCAAUUCAAAGUGAGCACUCUGCCUACGGAACUCCUGUUUGGUUGAGUGACCAAAGAUUAAAAGAUUGUGUCGUUGGAUCUGUAAAACUGUGAAACUAAAAAACUCAUGGAAACAUGCAUUUCCUGAGACUUCCAACUUUCCAGUCUGGAAUCCUAACAAGGAAGAACCUGAACAAAUAACCCUGGCUAAAAACAUGUCAGAACUUCAAAGAACUUAAAACAACUUUAAGUGAAGAUGUGUGUAUGUGUUUGUAAUUUAUAUUCUAGUCCAUUAUGGAUUCUCUAAUUUGAAGUGAAAUUGAGAAUUUAGAUAGACUGUUCGUGCCAGGCAUUUUCUAUUUCUGAUGGCCUCACUUUUCAUUGGUUUUCUAGUUACUUUUCUCCUCUUAAAUAUUUAAAUAUUUGAAUUAUGUUUAUAUCUACUAAUGUAGGAGAUAUUGAUUUUAAGAGUUGAAACAGCAAUAGACUCAGAUUGAUUAGAGUGCAGUUUCAACUUGAAUAAUAAGUAUAUGUGUGUGAAAUGUGCAUUCUGUGUGUGUGUGUAAUGUGUGUAUGUGCACAUACAGGUGUAUACAUGGCAAACAUUUUAUACUCUAAUACAUUCACUGUUAGGUGGCACUCCAUGAAAAGUAAGUUUUCCCAGUAUGGCUGAAAGUCAAUAUUGAGGUCAUCAUAUAGAAUAUCCUAAGGCUUUUAAAAGAUGCCUCCUCAUUCUCUGCAUUUACAUUAUUGUGUGGUAAAUAGGGAGACAUAAAUGAUAAUGGCAGAAGAAAAAUUUGCUAUAUUAGUCCUUGAAAAUUACAGACAGGAAAUCAAACUUAAAAAUGAUCUCUUUGCAUAUUUUCUCUCAUUCCACCCACUCCUUUGAUUUCCUGCUGUAGAUUGGGUAAAAGUUAGAUUGUAUUUGUUUGGUUGUUUUGUUUUGUUUUGUUUUUUUGCCUCACAGGACUUGUGAAAUAGUCUUAAGAAACAAGUAAAACAAAAAGUGCACCAAGGUGUAUCUACCACCAUCUUGGCGCCCAUGUGUAGCCCUUGUGCUACAAGCUCUCUGAAAAGACAAUGCCCAGCUGAGACAAAUGUGCAUAGGCUAAGGAUAAGCUUCGAUUGCAUAUCACCAUUUUUUACUUUUGGAAGGCCCGCAGCCUGCUUCCCCAGUGUGCUCCAGGGCAGAACUAAUGGAUAGAAGACAGUCAAAGGCACCUUCUCUCCAUUCCCCUUUCCAAGGACUCCCUUUUAGUAAACUCCCCCUCUAGCUGGAGGACCCAUGGUUCCCUUCUACCUCUUCCCUCCUUUAUAAAUUAAGGCAAGUCCAUUUACUCUAAGUGCCUGCUACAUAGGCACUGUAUGUCCACAUGGAAACCAUAGCAUUGGCUUGAAACUGCCUUUUGUCUAACAAGGUUUCUGGGUGCAUAUCAUUAGCAGCAGUACAAAGCUUUCCCUAGUUAAAAAACUGCACAAUUAUUCAAAAGCUUCAUCAUGUUUGUUUUUUUCCAGAACCCAGUUGACAAAUAGGACAAAGUUAAUUCUAAGCAAACACUAUGAGAAAGUAUCUAGGUUCAAGAAAAUACAACAUAGUUACCUCUAUAUUUUAUUCAUGAUAUGAUGAAAAAUCUGUUUUCCAUUAUAUUUAUAAAAUUAAAUUCAUGUGUCAUUGCAAAUAUUCUUGGCUAAGAUCCUCCUGAAGGAUGAAUGAAUAGCCAGUUAGAGAGAAAGUCUGCCCAAAAACCAAAUUUACGGGACAUACAUUUCAAUAAUCCUAAUCAUUUUAAAAGGAUUCAUAUACAUUUUCACAUAAAGAGCAGGUGUAAAAGACAGAAAGAUAAUAAAACUACAAGGGAAGGGAAAAUGGAAAGAAGAGAAGAAAUAUAUUUUAAAAAUAAUUAAGUCCUACACUAGAAUUCUUUUACAAAAAUACUUUGAUGUGAUCAUCUACUCUACUUUCAAAGGUUUUAUUACUCUUUUUCACACAAUAUUAAGGGUUUCAGUCUUAAAAUUAAAUUAUUUAAUAUUAUCAAUGUCUUCAUUUGAAAAGAAGAAUUGUACUGUGUCCAUAUCUGUGUGUGUUUCUGUAUGUUUGAAUUUGUAUGCUAUCACAGGAAUGGGCAUAUGUUUGUAUAUUGUAUAUGGCAAGAUGUAUACACACAACCCAAAUGUAUACACACAUUUUUGUGUGUACAUGUAUGCUAUUUGGUAUACCACAGGUACAUACACACUCCUCAUAAACAUUCUCUUCAGUAUAAACAAUUUCUUUUCCUCCCUUUAAUUGCUAAUAAGUACUAUUUUCUGAUCAUGAGUAUUUAUAAUCUUGAAAUCAACUCUUGAUUAUUUGUGGUCUUGACAUAUAUGGUUUUGAAUUGAACUCCCUUAUCUAAGUCUAAGAGAUUAAGCCAUAUGUGCUACAUUUAAGUUCAUUAAAAGCUGAGGGCAUGCUUUUAUUUCUCUAUGACCCUACUUUGCAUGGACUGUAUUAUCCUAGGAAACUAUUGGGGUGUGAUUAUUUCUAAACAUGAAAAUAAA